CUGUAAUAGUUUAAAAAAAACAAAGGUUUUGUAAACCUUAAUUGAAUUCCUUACAGUAUCAGA
This 63-nucleotide transfer RNA is filed under the name Ornithodoros savignyi. Its description in RNAcentral is "tRNA-Thr". The record is from RNAcentral. Lineage: Eukaryota; Metazoa; Arthropoda; Arachnida; Ixodida; Argasidae.